UUUUAUGGAGAGUUUGAUCCUGGCUCAGGAUGAACGCUGGCGGCGUGCCUAAUACAUGCAAGUCGAGCGAACGGACGAGAAGCUUGCUUCUCUGAUGUUAGCGGCGGACGGGGGAGUAACACGUGGAUAACCUACCUAUAAGACUGGGAUAACUUCGGGAAACCGGAGCUAAUACCGGAUAAUAUUUUGAACCGCAUGGUUCAAAAGUGAAAGACGGUCUUGCUGUCACUUAUAGAUGGAUCCGCGCUGCAUUAGCUAGUUGGUAAGGUAACGGCUUA
RNAcentral lists this ribosomal RNA (278 nucleotides) under Staphylococcus aureus. RNAcentral describes it as "partial 16S ribosomal RNA". It matches the Rfam family "Bacterial small subunit ribosomal RNA", at positions 1 to 267 of the family's 1533-position model. The record is from RNAcentral. Lineage: Bacteria; Bacillati; Bacillota; Bacilli; Caryophanales; Staphylococcaceae.